AUAAUGGCAGUCACGAAGGAAAGCACCAAGACAGCGGUGCGGCUUUUGGUUUCCUUGCUCGUCGCAGGCCAGAAAGAGGGCUGAGGGAGGUGUCCGGCGAUUUCAGAUCGCGAGGAGGAACAAGGGUGUCUUCGGGGUCGACGAGACCGAAGGGGAGGAAGGGAGGAGCAGCGAGGAGCUGCUCAAGCAGCUUCUCGGCUCCAGCAUCGCGGUGCGAAGGAAGGGCAAUCAGCGACCGCUAGGUUUUUCGGCAGUGGAGCUCGACGGAGAAGAAGAAUGGUGCGAUGGGCGAAAAGGGAAAAAGAUUCAAGGACUUUCAGAUCGAGGGUUUGGUGUGGCUGUUUUUGGCUGCUCUUCUUCUGGUUCGAUUGGAAGUAAACGUGAUAGAAAUGGGAAACAGUUGGAUUGAAGGGUAAGGACGAAGCAGCAACCGAAAUCGAUGAAGUGUAAGAGGAUUGUUUUGUUUGGUGUUUGAUUUUUGACUGGGAAGAGAAGGAGAAGAAGGGUGUUGAGUGGGGAAGAAGGUAAACGUGACUGAAGCAACACUUUAGAUGAUCUUUAUUUGAUUGUAAUUGUAUAGAUUGUGGGUUGUAUUUAAUAGUUUAAUUGGUUAAAGGAUGUGUGCAAGCAGUCUUCAAUUUGAGUGGGGAAGAAGGUAAACGUGACUGAAGCAACACUUUAGAUGAUUUUUAUAGAUUGUGGGUUGUAUUUGAUAGUUUAAUUUGACAGUCAAAGACUUGCAAGUUACUUGGCUGUCAAAUUCUUUGUAUUUGGUAGUUUAAAAGAAUGAAUUUGGUGGUAUAAUGUUGUAUAUUCAUCCUUCUGGGACAUGGCUCUUCGUGUCUAAACGAGCACUACAUCUGCCUUCCUAUCUGUAACUGUGAGUUAUGUAAUGUGUACCAUGAGUGGCAUAAUAAUUCCUGAUAUAAUGUAUAUUCUUUUUCUUCUCUAA
This is a long non-coding RNA of Lactuca sativa (garden lettuce), 952 nucleotides long. RefSeq lists it as uncharacterized. The record is from RefSeq and is a predicted model, not a curated record. Lineage: Eukaryota; Viridiplantae; Streptophyta; Magnoliopsida; Asterales; Asteraceae.